AUUGAACGCUGGCGGCAUGCUUUACACAUGCAAGUCGAACGGCAGCGGGUCCUUCGGGAUGCCGGCGAGUGGCGAACGGGUGAGUAAUAUAUCGGAACGUGUCCUGAAGUGGGGGAUAACGCAUCGAAAGAUGCGCUAAUACCGCAUAAUCUCUGAGGAGAAAAGUGGGGGAUCGAAAGACCUCAUGCUUUUGGAGCGGCCGAUGUCUGAUUAGCUAGUUGGUAGGGUAAUGGCCUACCAAGGCGACGAUCAGUAGUUGGUCUGAGAGGAUGGCCAGCCACACUGGGACUGAGACACGGCCCAGACUCCUACGGGAGGCAGCAGUGGGGAAUUUUGGACAAUGGGCGCAAGCCUGAUCCAGCAAUGCCGCGUGAGUGAAGAAGGCCUCGG
Molecule: ribosomal RNA, 390 nt
Filed under: uncultured bacterium
Lineage: Bacteria
Description: bacterial SSU rRNA
Rfam family: Bacterial small subunit ribosomal RNA
Source: RNAcentral